UACAGAGGGUGCAAGCGUUAAUCGGAAUUACUGGGCGUAAAGCGCACGUAGGUGGCUUGAUAAGUUGGGUGUGAAAUCCCCGAGCUUAACUUGGGAAUUGCAUUCAAGACUGUCUUGCUAGAGUGUGGAAGAGGGAAGCGGAAUUCCAGGUGUAGCGGUGAAAUGCGUAGAUAUCUGGAGGAACAUCAGUGGCGACGGCGGCGCACUGGCUCAUUACUGACGCUCAGGCGCGAUAGCGUGGGGAUCAAACAGG
RNAcentral lists this ribosomal RNA (253 nucleotides) under uncultured bacterium. RNAcentral's name for it is "partial 16S ribosomal RNA". It matches the Rfam family "Bacterial small subunit ribosomal RNA", at positions 524 to 776 of the family's 1533-position model. The record is from RNAcentral.